CCGACGUCCAACUGUCUACUAACUACUGAUUCCAACAGAUCCACGCCCACUACACUGUUCUACUCUACACACUUUGCGUGCUUGUCUGCUGUUACGAUACCAUCUACCAGCACAUCCUUCCCUCGCCCCCUUUCUCAGCUACGGAACAUCCCUCUACAACAAAGGACCCUUGAAAUAGGACAACAACAUCACCCAAAAAAGAAGGAAAAGAAAAAGAAAAAAAGAUUCAAAAGAAAAAAAUUACAUUCCUAAAACUGAUGGUGUGACACUAUGGUUUUAUAUUAUGACACAUGCAAUUUCAGUCGAGAAAGUUAGUCGAAUCGUAAAAAAGUCAGUCGAGUAAAUUUAAACGAGUAAAUCAAUUGAAUAUUGUGAUUUUUUUUUUCGUCUAUGUUUUUACAAAAUAAAGGAAAUUAAAAAAAUUAAAAUAAAAAUGAAAAUGAAAAAUAAAUUAAAUAGUAAAAGCAAAAAUACCGCGAGACCCUUACAAACUUGAUGGAGGUCAUUUUAGACGGUUUCGGUUGCUGCAGGCAAUUCAUUCACUUAACAAGUAAAAUCUCCUUUCUUUCUCCGAAGGUGCUGCGAAGCCUUCCACUGCUGCUAAACACCUGAUGAAAUUCGGCAGUAAAUGUAGACACUUCGUUAUCCCAGCUUUUUUUAAAAAAAAUUAAUAAAUGGUAGCCUUGCAGAAUCCGGUUUAACGAGGCGAUUUUGGCAUGCAUUAUAAUUGCUUUUCACACAUGUUUUCCCAUAUCGUUUUCUUUCUCCAAGGCAAAAUAGAGCGAUGGAUAGAAUACAUGCUAUACAUACGAUAUAGUCUAUAGUCCAUUUUGCAUCUACAGAUCCCUAGCGCACUACUCUGUUUUGUACAACCAAAAGUCCAUCUUGCAUCCAUACAAUCUUAUUUACCACUUUUAAUUUUUCAUCCUUCUUUACCAUUUUUUAUUUCCAUCCUUCUCUACCGCUUCUAAUCCCUCUCCCAUCCUUCUACUUUCGUUACCGUUUUGAUGCGCUAACGAUAAAUAAUACAACAUUAGAUUUUCUUUAACCUUCUUUCCAUUCUCCUCAACACUUUAAAUGGCCCACUUUAAUAAUUUUGCUUGCCCGGUUUUCCUGCUAUUCCAUUUGCUUGCCGUUACAAUGUAUCCGCAUGUUUGCUCCUACUAUCGCCGCAUUGCGUUCCAUUCCAUUUUGCUAUCGCAAUUGCUCUGAAAUCGGCUGCGUGCUAAUUUUUGGACGCAAAGCUGCGAUCAUGGAAUCUAGCUUCAAACUCUGGUAUAAACCUUUUUUUAAACGCUUAAAAAACAACCAAAGUUAGUGCGCUCUCAAGCUUAAAGUUACGGAUUUCCCCAAAUCCGAUAUCUAUUUACCGAGCGCAAUAGUUUGUAAAUUUAAAAAAAAUAAAUAAUAAAUAAUAAAUAAAUAAAAAAUUACACAAACCUUGAAUUUGAUCCAAACAACCUUUGCAUCCUUUGUCGAUCAAAUUCCCAUUCCUUCAUUUCUUUUAAAAAAAAAUUUUUUUUUCUAGAGCCGUUCCUUUCUCAAUUCAUUUUCGGGCAUAUUUAUUUUGCUUCCUCUCUUCCUUCCUUUCUUUGUUUACACAAAAAACCAUGAUAUUCCAAUUGAUCUUGCAUGCUCAUUUCUCACUACACCCUAAUAAUCCCUUUCCUUCAUUCACUCUAUCCUAAAUUAAAAAUUGCCCUUGCAUCUUUUUUGUUUAUCCAAAAUUAUUUAAAAUUAGUGCAUCAAAAUCUUUUCUCGCAAUUGCAUUCCAUCACAUUACGUUUUAUUUUGCUAAUUUUUUUUCGACAUCGCUCACUCCAAUACUCAAUAUUUAUUUACCAUAUUUUACGCAUUACAUCCUUAAUGUUUUAAUGUCAUUGAGUUUAUUCUGUUAUCUGCUAAUACCGAUUUUACUACCUUUCUCCCUGUUUUCCAUAAAACAUAUUCCCAACAGUGUCUUUAAAUGACGUAGGGUCAUUUCCUAGUAAUUCAUUAUGUUCAGCACCUAGUCUCACGGUACCCUUUCUUCUACAUU
RNAcentral lists this long non-coding RNA (2038 nucleotides) under Schizosaccharomyces pombe (fission yeast). RNAcentral's name for it is "non-coding RNA, possible alternative UTR". Lineage: Eukaryota; Fungi; Ascomycota; Schizosaccharomycetes; Schizosaccharomycetales; Schizosaccharomycetaceae. The record is from RNAcentral.